Choloepus didactylus (southern two-toed sloth) is the source of this 76-nucleotide small nucleolar RNA. RefSeq annotates it as small nucleolar RNA SNORD115. The transcript has a single exon. The record is from RefSeq and is a predicted model, not a curated record. NCBI's taxonomy places the organism in Eukaryota, Metazoa, Chordata, Mammalia, Pilosa, Megalonychidae.
AGGUCAAUUUUGAGAAUUUAUCUUUUAGAAGACAGAUGAUGACAUUAAAAUCAUGCUGACGAUUACACAGAUGCCC